AUGACGCGCCCGAGCCAAGUCGG
RNAcentral lists this small nuclear RNA (23 nucleotides) under Arabidopsis thaliana (thale cress). RNAcentral's name for it is "snRNA_03825". Lineage: Eukaryota; Viridiplantae; Streptophyta; Magnoliopsida; Brassicales; Brassicaceae. The record is from RNAcentral.